Non-coding RNA from Cinara cedri, 1277 nucleotides. NCBI's taxonomy places the organism in Eukaryota, Metazoa, Arthropoda, Insecta, Hemiptera, Aphididae. The record is from the annotation of a GenBank genome assembly.
GAUUCUAAUAGGCAUUUAUAAAAUCAUUUAAAGGAUUAUACAAUAAUGUUGAAAUGUAUGCAUAUUUUUUUUUUCAUUUUCCACAGUAUUUAUGGCAAAAUAUACAACUGUGUGGGUUAAAAAAAUUUUUCCACAUAGAUAGAGUAUUACUUUAAAUACAUUUUGGUGUAGACAUUUUAUUAAUCCUGUCAAUGAAAUUUGUUUGGCUUAACAGCAUCAUGUGGCUUUGAAUACAAUAUCACUAAAAUUGACAGUAACAUGAAAUUUGAAUCCUUUUCUUAAUUAAAAUAAAAAAUAAAACAUUCAAUAAAUUUAUUUUUAACCAAAAAAUAUACAAAAAUCACACAAAACACUAAAAUAAAUAUCAGUACAUCAAAUUUUUAAUUUACAUAAGCAAGUCUUAUAUUAUUUUCAGAGAGAUGAAAAUCUAUGUGGGGAAAUUGAAUGGGAACAAGAAAAAUUGAAAUAUGUAGAAUAUAAAAGCAUUGACUUAUAAAGAACAUAAAGAGCAUUGAAGAAACAUUUAUAACUUAAAUUAUUGUAGUUUAAACAAUAUCCAAUUCAAUAAACUUCUGGCACCUAAAUGUUGACCUUCUGAAAAUGUGAUGAAUGAAUAAUUUAUUUUUUUGAUCAGAAAAUUGUUUAUUUUUUAAAAUGUUUUUAAUCCAAAAUAUAUCAUGAAAUAAAUAAUUCACAUUAACAAGUAGUGCAAAGCUAUUAUUAGGUAAUCUAUGGUUUAAUUCGGCAGUGACCAACUACAGCCCAUGAUUAUUUAUUAAUCGGCCCAUCAAAGUAUUAAAUCAGAAUUAAAAAAAAAAAGACCUUUAAAUUUCAAAAUUUAACAUUCAUAUUAAAAUAAAAUUAUUAUACUUUUUAUUUUUUUCUCAUUUAUAACAAUCAAUAGGUACCUAAUAAAUGAUUAAACAUAUUACUGUACCUAUAUUAAGAUGUACCUACAAAAAAUUAAGAUAUUCUAUUUACUUAAAAGUAAAAGUUUAAUAUUAAAUUAUUCUAUUCACAAAAUAGUUAAAAUAUGAACUUAUUAAAACCAAGCUACUUAGACUUUACUUUACUUAGGAAGUCUAUUGUCAAUCAAACAAUUUUAAUCUUAUAAAUAUAAAUUAUAAUUAGUGCCAACAUUUGUGGCUUCAACUAUUUAGAUUAUAUUAACCUAGCCAAUACUAGAACAUAUCGAAUAAAAAAUAAUUAAAAUUGAAUACAUAACUUUACUAAAAUUAAUACAAUUUUCAAUAAAAUACAAAUAUUUUCAAUGAUGA